GCCUAACAUCAACUCUCCUUGGUCUGUCUUUAGCAAUACUACGUUUUUCAGACCUAAUACGUUGAUUUCCAGAAUUGGAAGAUUGAGGCUGCUCAUCAGACAUCGAUUGCUCGCUCUCUUCCUGAGGAUCGAUCGAUCUCGUGUAGUCGGACAUCGAUCAGAGAUCUUUACCAUCGCCCAAUCCUGUGUCUGGCGUAGAUCGAUCACUCCCUGACACUGGAUCGGUUGAUCCUGGGUAGUCUGACUGCACUUCCUGCAGCUCCACUUGCUUGUCAACAUCCUCCUGCUCUGCUUCUGAAAUGGACUCAGCUGAAACUUUGAACAUAGAACUCUCAUCAAACACAACGUUCCUGCUCAUAACAACCCAUUUCUCAGAUGG
Molecule: long non-coding RNA, 379 nt
Filed under: Brassica napus (rape)
Lineage: Eukaryota; Viridiplantae; Streptophyta; Magnoliopsida; Brassicales; Brassicaceae
Description: long non-coding RNA (BNAP_LNC013451)
Source: RNAcentral